Molecule: ribosomal RNA, 459 nt
Filed under: uncultured bacterium
Lineage: Bacteria
Description: partial 16S ribosomal RNA
Rfam family: Bacterial small subunit ribosomal RNA
Source: RNAcentral
CCUACGGGUGGCAGCAGUGAGGAAUAUUGGUCAAUGGACGGGAGACUGAACCAGCCAAGCCGCGUGAGGGAUGAAGGUACAGAGUAUCGUAAACCUCUUUUGUCAGGGAACAAAGGCGGGGACGUGUCCCCGGAUGAGUGUACCUGAAGAAAAAGCAUCGGCUAACUCCGUGCCAGCAGCCGCGGUAAUACGGAGGAUGCGAGCGUUAGCCGGAUUUAUGGGGUUAAUAGUGUGCGCAGGCGGUCUGAAAAGUCAGCGGUAAAAGCCCGGGGCUCAACCCCGGCCCGCCGUUGAAACUGGCAGUCUCGAGUUGGAGAGAAGUAUGCGGAAUGCGCGGUGUAGCGGUGAAAUGCAUAGAUAUCGCGCAGAACUCCGAGUGCGAAGGCAGCAUGCCGGCUCCACACUGACGCUGAGGCACGAAAGCGUGGGUAUCGAACAGGAUUAGAUACCCCAGUAGUC